AGAGUUUGAUCAUGGCUCAGGAUGAACGCUAGCGACAGGCCUAACACAUGCAAGUCGAGGGGCAGCGCGGGAGAAGCUUGCUUUUCCUGGCGGCGACCGGCGCACGGGUGCGUAACAGGUGUGCAAUCUGUCCUAUACCGGGGCAUAGCCCAGCGAAAGUUGGAUUAAUUCUCCAUGUGAAGCGAUACCGCAUGAUAUUGCUUUGAAACGUAAGGGUAUAGGGUGAGCACGCUUCUGAUUAGAUAGUUGGUGGGGUAACGGCUCACCAAGUCGACGAUCAGUAGGGGUUCUGAGAGGAAGGUCCCCCACAUUGGAACUGAGACACGGUCCAAACUCCUACGGGAGACAGCAGUGAGGAAUAUUGGUCAAUGGGCGAGAGCCUGAACCAGCCAAGUCGCGUGAAGGAUGAAGGUUCUAUGGAUUGUAAACUUCUUUUGUCCGAGGGUAAAAAAGGCCACGUGUGGCUUCUUGCAAGUAUCGGACGAAUAAGCAUCGGCUAACUCCGUGCCAGCAGCCGCGGUAAUACGGAGGAUGCGAGCGUUAUCCGGAUUUAUUGGGUUUAAAGGGUGCGUAGGUGGUUUGUUAAGUUUGUGGUGAAAGCGUGCGGCUCAACCGUACCAAGCCAUGAAAACUGGCGAACUUGAGUGCAAACGAGGUAGGCGGAAUGUGAUGUGUAGCGGUGAAAUGCUUAGAUAUGUCACAGAACCCCGAUUGCGAAGGCAGCUUACCAGCAUGCAACUGACACUGAGGCACGAAAGCGUGGGUAUCAAACAGGAUUAGAUACCCUGGUAGUCCACGCAGUAAACGAUGAAUACUAGCUGUUGGCGAUAUAUGGUCAGCGGUACAGCGAAAGUGUUAAGUAUUCCACCUGGGGAGUACGCCGGCAACGGUGAAACUCAAAGGAAUUGACGGGGGCCCGCACAAGCGGAGGAACAUGUGGUUUAAUUCGAUGAUACGCGAGGAACCUUACCC
Molecule: ribosomal RNA, 972 nt
Filed under: uncultured rumen bacterium
Lineage: Bacteria
Description: bacterial SSU rRNA
Rfam family: Bacterial small subunit ribosomal RNA
Source: RNAcentral